UCUGGUGACCCUCGCCCGUGAUAUUGCUGGAAUAUUGCUAAAGCGGCGUAAAACCAUACUCACAUACUCACAUAUUGUCUUAACAUUCCAAUGGCAAGUGGCGUUUGGUUUGAUUUGAUAUGACUUAAAGCUUGUGUAGAAUACUCUUUGUACCUGCAACUUGAGAUCGUCACUGUGUCAACUUAAAGCACACAUACAGCCCAUUCAAUAUUAUUCAGUUAUUGUGACGACAAUAACAUUUAUUGUAACUUCCUAGUUGUUCAAACGCUAAACACAUUGUACAUUCAGAAAGUCGAAGUGUACUGAGCAUAACGGUGCUAAUAAUGUUUCCCUGUGCAUAUACCUUCCUUGUCGUUCGGAAGCUGUACACAUAAGUCAUGCAUUUGUCAUACAUAGUUGACACGAUCUGUAAACACGAUCCGGGCUGUUCAACAUGGUUGGCUUUAGGAUCUUUGGUGUUGCAAUCCUCUCGGGACUGAUAGAGCUGACAUCGGGUUCCUGCCCACAAGGAAUGUUUGGAGACUCCUGUAGAUACUCCUGUCACUGUGCAUCUUGUAACGAGACAACAGGUGCCUGUUCAGAUCCCCUGCGACUCUGGUUGGAUUAUGGGAGGAAGCAUGUGCCAGAAGCAAAACAUUGCUCUGAACAAGACAGCAUCAACAACAUCUGGAGUGGAGGAAGGUUGGUCCCCAUCAAAGGCCGUGGAUGGAGACAAUGACACUGAUGGUGAGGGCAGAACCUGUUUCCACGCUCUAAGAUCUCGGUCAGACUGGACAGUGGAUCUGGGCUCGGGACUUCCAGCUGUAUGACAUCAUCAGGAUUUACAGUAGAAAUGGAUCUCACUGGAGAAACGCCAACUCUACCAUCUACCUGAACAACACUACCAACACCAACACCACCAACUGCUCUACCCUCCCGAGUUCAUCCAAAACCACCACCAGCCAAACUGAUGUGACGUGUAACG
Molecule: long non-coding RNA, 964 nt
Filed under: Haliotis rubra (blacklip abalone)
Lineage: Eukaryota; Metazoa; Mollusca; Gastropoda; Lepetellida; Haliotidae
Description: uncharacterized LOC124265978, transcript variant X1
Source: RNAcentral